Molecule: unclassified non-coding RNA, 3125 nt
Filed under: Leishmania donovani
Lineage: Eukaryota; Euglenozoa; Kinetoplastea; Trypanosomatida; Trypanosomatidae
Description: gene:LdHU3.11.0060(CDS-product:SNF2/RAD54_related _DNA_helicase_putative)
Source: RNAcentral
CGUCUUCUGUAUCUCCUGUGCGUGAAAAUGGCACGAGAAAGGCUGUAGAAGAAAAUGUCGUGAAGAUGGAGGCCCUGUUGCCUGUCGAGACCUGUUUUCGAUGCGGUCAUCGCUACGCAUUUCGCCUGUCGCGCUUUGGGUGUGUGUUCUCGUGUGCAUGCGACGAGUGCAUCGACGUGCUGAAAGUGGCCGCGGCCUUCUCCGCCGCCGUGCGUGGACGAACAGCCGCGGUGCCGUUUGUCCCGGUUAUGUUAUCCCCAUCCUGCGAACUCACCUUUUCCAUGAAGAUGGUGUCUGUGGAGGUGGACUUUGUGCGCGAUCGUGUUUCCGCCCACUUCCGGAACUUUCACGACGCUGAAGUGGCGCAGAUAGCGUUUAGUCUUUCCCUCGCACUUCGCGAGCAACUGGCACGGAGUGGGGUAGUUCUGACGGGCCCAGCACCAGUGAUUGACCAGCUCACUGAGGAGCUUCUUGAGUCCGCACAAGAUCCCGCGCUUCCGUUCUUUGUGAACCCGCCGCCGCCUGGCCUGCGCAAAGCUGUAGCUGGCAUUCUCAGCUGUGCAGUGCCCGAAACCAGGCUCGAUCGGAUUCCACAUCUCCUUCGUCGCGCUAUGAAAGCCCAUCAAGUAGAGGGUGUGAGGACGGCGCUGCGAUGGGGAGGACGGAUUCUUUUUGCUGACGACAUGGGUGUUGGAAAAACAAUGCAGGCAUUGGCCACCGUGGCAGCACUCGAGGCCUAUCCGCUUCUCAUUGUAUGUCCCUCGGCGUUAAAGCUCAUGUGGGCAGACCUAAUCGAGCAGUACCUGCACGAGCAGGUGUCUGUCGAGGAGAUGCACCCGAUUCACGGCGCCAAUGACGCGCUCAGUAUUGACUCGCAGCCAAAGGUGGUGCUGGUGAGCUAUCACAUGGCAGCGGUACUAGAGAAGCAGCUGCAGGCUCGCAGCUGGAAGUGUCUCUUGUGCGACGAGAGCCAUCUUCUGCACACAAAUGUUAGCGGAGCUGAUGCAACCUAUACACGUGUGGUGGUAGCUAUCGGGAAACGGGCGCCUCACUGUCUCCUGCUUUCUGGAACGCCGGCUACGGAUAAUCCAUUUGAUCUGUUUAACCAGAUUGACACGCUCCGGCCCAACCUACUCGGGGAGUCGCGCUUUGAGUUCGCGAUGCGGUACUGCCAGCUCACCUUCUCUCCCUACUUGCAGGUUGGAGAGUCGACGAGGAGGGUAGAGUUUUCAUCGCUGCUGCGCUCCUGCUGUAUGUUGCGCCGCCUCAAGGAGGAUGUGCUGGAGCUGCCACGAAAAAGCAGAGUUGUGAUGCGGGUAGCACAUCGUAUUGGCCCGCACAGUGGCGCCCGCUGCAGCGGGGAAGCGCCGUAUCAGGAGCGGUACGCGAAUAGCUGGAAAGCAAACUGGAACGGCAUCGCGGAAGCAGUGGAGCACUGCUGCAGCAAGUACGACCGCGUUGUGCUUCUGGCGCACCACAUCGAGCUGAUUGACUCACUUGUGCAGUGGGCUCGUGACCACUGCAAGCGCGCGGUACGCAUCGACGGGCGAGUGCCGGUGCAACAGCGUGGAGAUCUCCUACACGCUUUCCACCGCGGGGAGGCGAGAAUUGCGGUAAUCGGGAUUACGGCGUGCGCGGUGGGUAUUUCGCUAGCACCGGCUCAGUGUGCUGUGUUCUGUGAGCUCCCCCCUGACGCGGCGUGGAUGCGGCAGGCAGAGGAUCGCCUGCAUCGCCCUGGACAGCGCGACGAGGUUGUUGUAUACUAUCUGCUAGGGCUCCAUUCGCAGUUUGACGCCGAGCUCUUUUCCCGCUUGUGCAGGAGCCUCUCCGAAGCGGAGGAGUCUAGAGGCGCAAGUCUCUCGCUUUCGCAAAUCGCACACGCGUCCCACCCAGCACUGCAGCUGAAGCCUGCUUCCAACGCGCAGACGCAUGGCUCAGUGCAGCCAACAGCGGAGCCUUUGCUCUUUUGUAUUAGCAAAAACACCGGUCGCAUCCACGUACGCGCAAGUAGAUCGACUGGCUUUUACACCACGUUUCCGUGGCAUGAGGCAAGACAGUGCGUGCAGAAGCGCCAGGACCUAGUGUGGCAGCAGCUGGACACUUUCCUUGAAUCCGUUGCUCGCCUUUCACCGUUUCAUCGGAGGCAACUCGUCCUUUGCCAGGCGUGGCUGCCACCUGUCUUCCAGUGGAAAAGCAGCGGAGUGGCUGCCUCCGCUCCACGACGGCGCAACCGCUAUGCGAAAACACUGACUGUUGGAUGGGGGGUGUGGUGGGAAGUGCGCCGAUUGUACUUUCCCACGCGUUACUACUUUGGUCCCCUCACUGCUGCUGCGAACAAUGAAUACGAGGCGGGCUGCCUGAACUGCGCGGCGAGCCUCCCACAGCUCGAUCGAGGUGCUUACAUCUUUGUGCCCGGGGCAAUUUGCGGUGCCGCCAACGGCGAUUCUGAGCUCUUCUGCUCAGGUAAGUGUAGGCUGUCGUUUUUUAUCCGGCGGUCUGGUGGGGCGAUACGCCGCAGUGUUGCGGGUGUAGACAAGAGUGUUUGCUCGCACUGCCACGUUGACUGUGAGACACUGUGCACCUCCGUAGCAGCAGCGGCAGGGAGACGAGAGCGUGUGGCUGUGAUUGGGAAGCUGCACCCGCAACUGCUGCAAUUCCCCGCUCUCUGCGAGAAGGUCGUCUCGAAUCCUAUCCCUGGGAAUUUCUGGCACGUUGAUCACGUGGUUCCCGUUGCAUGGGGUGGGGGCGAGGCGACUCUAGACAACCUGCAGACGCUGUGUGUCGUCUGUCACGCCCUCAAAACCCAUGAAGAUAUGAGGCAACUGCGACAGAAGCGUGCACUGUUGCCUGUCCAAGGGCCGGUGGAUCGAACAACAGUCGACGUCGCGUGGAUAAAGGUGACUGCUUCCAGUGGCUCACGGGUCACAUGGCGCAAAGUAUGAACUUCCACUUGCGCAGACAUGCAGCGUGCCCGCAGCAACCAUUGUCGAAGACGUUCUUUUUGCUGGUGUUGGGGCUAUCUGUUCUUUCGUUCCACCCCCUCCUCCUUAUUCCGUGUCGAUACUGCCAGCUCAUGUGACUGUGAAACGGCGACACUUUUUCCAUCCACUUUUCCUUUGUUCGAG